RNAcentral lists this ribosomal RNA (1238 nucleotides) under Bacillus amyloliquefaciens. RNAcentral describes it as "bacterial SSU rRNA". It matches the Rfam family "Bacterial small subunit ribosomal RNA", at positions 41 to 1262 of the family's 1533-position model. Lineage: Bacteria; Bacillati; Bacillota; Bacilli; Caryophanales; Bacillaceae. RNAcentral also lists the same sequence under 1 other name. The record is from RNAcentral.
GGCGUGCCUAAUACAUGCAAGUCGAGCGGACAGAUGGGAGCUUGCUCCCUGAUGUUAGCGGCGGACGGGUGAGUAACACGUGGGUAACCUGCCUGUAAGACUGGGAUAACUCCGGGAAACCGGGGCUAAUACCGGAUGCUUGUUUGAACCGCAUGGUUCAGACAUAAAAGGUGGCUUCGGCUACCACUUACAGAUGGACCCGCGGCGCAUUAGCUAGUUGGUGAGGUAACGGCUCACCAAGGCGACGAUGCGUAGCCGACCUGAGAGGGUGAUCGGCCACACUGGGACUGAGACACGGCCCAGACUCCUACGGGAGGCAGCAGUAGGGAAUCUUCCGCAAUGGACGAAAGUCUGACGGAGCAACGCCGCGUGAGUGAUGAAGGUUUUCGGAUCGUAAAGCUCUGUUGUUAGGGAAGAACAAGUGCCGUUCAAAUAGGGCGGCACCUUGACGGUACCUAACCAGAAAGCCACGGCUAACUACGUGCCAGCAGCCGCGGUAAUACGUAGGUGGCAAGCGUUGUCCGGAAUUAUUGGGCGUAAAGGGCUCGCAGGCGGUUUCUUAAGUCUGAUGUGAAAGCCCCCGGCUCAACCGGGGAGGGUCAUUGGAAACUGGGGAACUUGAGUGCAGAAGAGGAGAGUGGAAUUCCACGUGUAGCGGUGAAAUGCGUAGAGAUGUGGAGGAACACCAGUGGCGAAGGCGACUCUCUGGUCUGUAACUGACGCUGAGGAGCGAAAGCGUGGGGAGCGAACAGGAUUAGAUACCCUGGUAGUCCACGCCGUAAACGAUGAGUGCUAAGUGUUAGGGGGUUUCCGCCCCUUAGUGCUGCAGCUAACGCAUUAAGCACUCCGCCUGGGGAGUACGGUCGCAAGACUGAAACUCAAAGGAAUUGACGGGGGCCCGCACAAGCGGUGGAGCAUGUGGUUUAAUUCGAAGCAACGCGAAGAACCUUACCAGGUCUUGACAUCCUCUGACAAUCCUAGAGAUAGGACGUCCCCUUCGGGGGCAGAGUGACAGGUGGUGCAUGGUUGUCGUCAGCUCGUGUCGUGAGAUGUUGGGUUAAGUCCCGCAACGAGCGCAACCCUUGAUCUUAGUUGCCAGCAUUCAGUUGGGCACUCUAAGGUGACUGCCGGUGACAAACCGGAGGAAGGUGGGGAUGACGUCAAAUCAUCAUGCCCCUUAUGACCUGGGCUACACACGUGCUACAAUGGGCAGAACAAAGGGCAGCGAAACCGCGAGG